AUGAUCCAAGUGUCCAAGCUGAGAGACCUUAGCAGCGCCUCAUGGGAUGAGAAGACUUGCUCCAUAAUUCUGGAGGCAGAGCACUACGCCGGCCAUGUCGCGUGUGGCUUCAGCGACGAGGCUCUCAUGGCAGCUUUCAGCCACCUGCUUGACAACAAGGCCCAGGGUGUUGGGUCCGUUGCCAUGGCAGACGCUCACAGGGGCAAGUGGUAUGCCGUGUUCAUCGGUAAGGCUCCAGGGAUUUACAGUUCAUGGGAAGAAGUCAGUGCACAAGUGGCAUCGUAUAGCAACAGCAGCCAUAGAGGGUUCAAGACUAGGCAGGCCGCAGAACAAGCUUACUCCGACUGGGUGCGAAAGCACGGAGGCAGCAGUGUUGACAGCGGCAAGGUUGGAGGUGUCAAGGUGGAUCAUUAG
This 414-nucleotide ribosomal RNA is filed under the name Triticum aestivum (bread wheat). RNAcentral's name for it is "partial small subunit ribosomal RNA". The record is from RNAcentral. Lineage: Eukaryota; Viridiplantae; Streptophyta; Magnoliopsida; Poales; Poaceae.